AUUGAACGCUGGCGGCAGGCUUAACACAUGCAAGUCGAGCGGGGUGAUGGUGCUUGCACUAUCACUUAGCGGCGGACGGGUGAGUAAUGCUUAGGAAUCUGCCUAUUAGUGGGGGACAACAUCUCGAAAGGGAUGCUAAUACAGCAUACGUCCUACGGGAGAAAGCAGGGGAUCUUCGGACCUUGCGCUGAUAGAUGAGCCUAAGUCGGAUUAGCUAGUUGGUGGGGUAAAGGCCUACCAAGGCGACGAUCUGUAGCGGGUCUGAGAGGAUGAUCCGCCACACUGGGACUGAGACACGGCCCAGACUCCUACGGGAGGCAGCAGUGGGGAAUAUUGGACAACGGGGGAAACCCUGAUCCAGCCAUGCCGCGUGUGUGAAGAAGGCCUUAUGGUUGUAAAGCACUUUAAGCGAGGAGGAGGCUACUGAGACUAAUACUCUUGGAUAGUGGACGUUACUCGCAGAAUAAGCACCGGCUAACUCUGUGCCAGCAGCCGCGGUAA
Molecule: ribosomal RNA, 501 nt
Filed under: uncultured bacterium
Lineage: Bacteria
Description: partial 16S ribosomal RNA
Rfam family: Bacterial small subunit ribosomal RNA
Source: RNAcentral